CUUAUAUAAUUGCUUAAUCCUUAAGGAGUGGGGGACCCAUUUUGUGCAUCGUCACUGGGGGUGAAUCCUUCAUAAGAAGGCAGGGCUACUCUCAAAGCCCGAAUCCGACAGCUAACCUCAUAAGCGUCUAGGGAGGAGGU
RNAcentral lists this small RNA (140 nucleotides) under Bacillus sp. (in: firmicutes). RNAcentral describes it as "Bacillus sp. c-di-AMP sequence". It matches the Rfam family "c-di-AMP riboswitch aptamer (ydaO/yuaA leader)". From Rfam's summary of the family: This family represents a conserved RNA structure found upstream of the ydaO and yuaA genes in Bacillus subtilis and related genes in other bacteria. Lineage: Bacteria; Bacillati; Bacillota; Bacilli; Caryophanales; Bacillaceae. RNAcentral also lists the same sequence under 1 other name. The record is from RNAcentral.